GAUGAACGCUGGCGGCGUGCCUAAUACAUGCAAGUCGAGCGAACAGACGAGGAGCUUGCUCCUCUUACGUUAGCGGCGGACGGGUGAGUAACACGUGGAUAACCUACCUAUGAGACUGGGAUAACUUCGGGAAACCGGAUCUAAUACCGGAUAAUAUAUUGAACCGCAUGGUUCAAUAGUGAAAGACGGUUUUGCUGUCACUUAUAGAUGGAUCCGCGCCGCAUUAGCUAGUUGGUAAGGUAACGGCUUACCAAGGCGACGAUGCGUAGCCGACCUGAGAGGGUGAUCGGCCACACUGGAACUGAGACACGGUCCAGACUCCUACGGGAGGCAGCAGUAGGGAAUCUUCCGCAAUGGGCGAAAGCCUGACGGAGCAACGCCGCGUGAGUGAUGAAGGUCUUCGGAUCGUAAAACUCUGUUAUUAGGGAAGAACAACUGUGUAAGUAACUAUGCACGUCUUGACGGUACCUAAUCAGAAAGCCACGGCUAACUACGUG
This 497-nucleotide ribosomal RNA is filed under the name uncultured bacterium. RNAcentral's name for it is "partial 16S ribosomal RNA". It matches the Rfam family "Bacterial small subunit ribosomal RNA", at positions 28 to 507 of the family's 1533-position model. The record is from RNAcentral.